This 26254-nucleotide long non-coding RNA is filed under the name Populus trichocarpa (black cottonwood). Its description in RNAcentral is "long non-coding RNA (PTRI_LNC004042)". The record is from RNAcentral. Lineage: Eukaryota; Viridiplantae; Streptophyta; Magnoliopsida; Malpighiales; Salicaceae.
CUGAAGAGAACAAAAUUUCUGAUCAGUGUGCAGGAACCCAGGAGAGAGAAAAAAACAAAGAAAGCUUAAGAGUAGAGUAGAAAAUCUCAGAGAAAGAAAAGGGGUGCUUUGGGAUAAAAAUUUAUGAGGUUCAAUUAUCAAGCAAAUCGCACCCCUUUGGAUGUGAUUUGCGAUGGCAUGGAAAACAUGAGAAUAACACACACAAUCCACAAUCAAUUGGUCUACAAUUGUUCUCUUGCCAUUCAUUUACUAUUCCUAGUAAAUAUAGGCAAGCCAAUUUCAUCUAGAUAUGAGCAGGCAAUAAUAAAAAGAUUUGGUGAAUAAAAAUAUAGGUCAUCUCCAUUGACAAACACACACACACACACACACACACACACACACACACAAAAACCCGCAUGCAUUGAAAGCAAAACUUUUUCAUCAAGAUUUUGUCACUGUUGCAAGUCUACUCUGAAGCAUCUUAGAAGGAAAGAAAUCUUGAAGACUGCAAAGUGCCAGCUUUCCCUUAUAACUAGUCUAGAAUCCAAUCCAUCCCUUGUCAUUGAUGGUUUCCAAACAUGAGAAUUGAGUAAGUAGCUUAGAAUUGAAAUCAACGCUCCACAAUUCCAUAGUUUCCAAACGGGCUGUGAUUUAGUCAUAAUUUAAAACCUAAAAAGAAAAAGAAUAAAGAUAGCACUAAAAAAAACGAAAAGAAAAGGAAGGAGACCUGUCUAGCUUUGUCUUCCUCUUUAAGGCGUCUCUCUUCCUCUUUCUUCUUAUUCUUCAAUUCCUUCUUCAGCGCACUACAACAAUGUUAACAUGCACAAACCACAAUCAAAUCCACUUAACAAAUUAAUUUUAAGCAAUAACAAAUUAAUGAGAUAUAUAGCGAGAGACUUACUUCUUGCUUGUGGUUUUCUCAGCGGGAGCAGAAGCGUCGGUCUCCUCCAUUGUUGAAUCAGUAACGCACGCAGUUCAGGUGUUUGAGAGAGGGAAAUGCAGGGGAGGUGUUUGGAAGGCAACUACUGGCUGUUGCUGGUGCGUAAUUGUUCUUAUGGUAGUAAAAAUAACGCUAGCUAGGGCUUUUAUAAAAGGCCUUAGAAGUGGGUUCAGCAGAAUCGGCACAACACGAGACAAGACAAGUACUUUUAAAAACACUCUUUUAAAAAUUUUAAAUUUUUUUAUAUUUUAAAUUAAUUUUUUUAGUAAUUUUAAAUUAUUUUAAUAUACUGAUUUUAAAAAUAUUUUUUUAAAAAAUAAUAAUUUAAUAUAUUUUUAAAUAAAAAUCAUUUUAAAAAACAAUAUAUACCCAAGCUAAAGCUUUUCUCUUAAGGCCCAUUUAAUACUAAAAUUUUGUUCGUCAAAGGAGAAAGAAAAUGUGCCGAAAACAUGCUUACUUGCCCAUCACACAAAUGCAACCAUGACAAGGGUUCAAUGUAUAAAAAAAUAAAAAAAUAAUAUUUAAAAUUUGAGAGACCUAAAUUAUCUCCAUGAAAAGAACCAAAAUGAUUGGUCCGUGAAAAGUCAGUUCGCGCGUAUCAUAUUCCCACGUCCCUCCUUUUCUUGGCCCCCAAGCACCUUACGGAUUUUGUCAGCUGGCAGUCGUGCAUCUUAGUAUUUCUUUAACAAGUGUAGGUGACUAAAUUCUACCCAUUUUACUAUUAUUAUUAUUAUUAUUAUUAUGCAUAUUAAAUUAUAAGUGUAUUUCUUGACUGUGCUUGCUUGCUUGCUGCCAAAAUAAUAUUAAAUUUUGAUCUUCGAUUCUGCAGAGGUGUUUCGAUCCUAAUCUUUUACUUUUCUAAUCCUCUGUCUUUAACAUGCAUUGAAUUGAAAAUGUGGUUGUGAUUGUUUUUUAAAAAUAUUUUUUAUUUAGAAAUAUAUUAAAAUAAUAUUUUUUUAUUUUUAAAAAAUUAUUUUUGAUAUCAACACAUCAAAAUAAUCUGAAAAUACCAAAAAAAUAUUAAUUUGAAAUAAGAAAAAAAAUAAAAAAAAUUAUUUUUUUAAAAAAUACUUUUAAAAUAUAAAAACAAACAUGGCUGAAAAACUAUUAUAGAUAAUAAAUAAUAAUAAUCAGCUCCCAUCUUGUUGAAUUCCUCUUCAGUUUCCUUUCUCAAACUUUUAAGAGUUUCAGUUUUAUUUAUUCACAUUAAAUUCAGAUUUUAUUACACACAUUCGAUAUGUGAUAAUAAAAAAAAUUAAAUCAAGUUAUUGAUAAUUUUAACUUGAUUUAAUUUUUUCUUCAGGUCCAACAAUAUACGUGUAAAGCCCGGUCUAGAAAAUCGGUAAACCGGUGUUGAAAGGGUAAUCCUCCAUUAAAAAAUGGUAAAUGAAGAGGAAGAAUUAUUGUUGUAUAGGAUGAACAUCCCUGGUGAGUUAACUUAAAUUUAUGAUGAAAUAAAAUAAUAAAAUUAAUAUGUAAAAUGUUAAUUAGUAUUAGUGAUAAAUUCGUGUAAAAUAUUUAUUGUAAAGGCAAGAUUUUUGUAAAUUUGGGGUGAAAUUAUUUAGAAAUAUAUUUUGAAAUUUCAAAUAAAUUAAUGUAUGAUUUUAUGCAUAAGUAACUAUAACCGCUAGUAUAAGCCCCGCGUACAAUCUUGCAGUUUUUAAUCAAAAGAUGAUGAAAGUUUUCAAUGAAUUAGUUUGAAAAUCUUAACAAUUCAAGUAAAUAAACAUUAUGAAAAAUGAUAUGAUUAAGGAAAUGUUGAAUAAGCAAAUUCAUAUUUUAGUGUAAAUUUGUUCAGUUUUAUGUUAUCAAGGAUAACUUUUAAUUCAAUUGUUAGAUUAGGCUGAAAUUUCUCAAAAUAUCUUCUAACGUAUUGUUCUAUCUUAGAGUUAGAAUUUCACGUCAUUCAGUAUUUAGAAAGUCCAUAUAAAUUUACCGGUCACCAAGAGAAAAUAUCAAAAAUUAACACGUGGACCAUUAGUAAUGGUAAAAUUAUAAAUAAGAUAAAAAUUUCUUAUUCCUCCUUCGUAAACUUACGUGCAGCUGGAAUUAAAGGGGGAGAGACCCUAGCUUAUUUCUUCUUCUUCUUGUUCUUGGUUUUUCUUUGGGAAAUUGGCCAGUGAGAUGGAAAAUGAGAUUACAAUAAGAAAGAAACUACCUUGAGGCCGCAAAUUUGGUUGGGAAGAGAAGAGAGAGAAGUAGUUUCGGCUAUGGAGAAAAAGAAACAAAUGAAUUGAAGAAGAAAGGAGUUGGAAGCUAAAGCUUGCAAGGAAGUUGUUUUGACACUAAAAUUGAUUAUUAAUGUAUUCUUUACUAUGAGUUUUAUAAUUGAUUAAGAUUUUAAGCAAUUUUAAAUGAAAUUCCCAAAUCUUUCAAGUUAUGGUUCUUAGUAAAAAAUUAAGGGAAUUGCAAAAUUAGUUUUAAAUUUGUUAAUUGGUGUGAAAUGAGUUGUGAUGAAUGUGAAAUUAUAGAGAGAUGAAAAGAAAAACUUGGUGUCAUGGAGAGUUAAGGACCUGCCAAAUUAGAGAGAAAAAGGAUAUUGGUUUAAUUGAUCUCAAUGUUUAUAAAUUAUAUGUAAUUAAUGUGUAUUGGUACGAGGAUGAUGAUUUGAGAUGAAUUUUGUUUUGAGAUGAAUUUCGUUAUUGUAUUUAAUUAUAUUUGAACUUGUAGUGCAUAUUGAUUUAGGAUUCUUGAAAUUUAAUUUGAAAAAAUGCUUGAUUAUGGUGUUUUUAGUUAAGGGAUAUGUAAUGAUUGGUUGUUGUGAAAAUUGAGAUAGAUUAGGGGAAGAAAAAAGCCUUGGGGUCGAUCAUGAAUGAGUCCUAGGGAAUCUAAAUAAAUUAUUAAUAAAUUUUAAUAAAUUGUGAUUUAUUUGUAUGUAUUAUUGAUGUAAUAAUGUUUGAGAGAGUAAUGAUUACUAUUAUUUAUGAAUUUGGUUUUGUAUGAGUUUUUAUGGGAUUGUUUGAUUUUUAAUGUUUAUGGGUUAGGGGGUGUUUGGUAGUGUGAUAAUGAUUGCUUUUCAAAAUAUUUUUCGUUUGGAAAUGCAUCAAAAUAAUGUUUUUUUAUUUUAAAAAAAUUAUUUUUUACAUCAACGCAUCAAAACGAUAAGAAAAGAUAAAAUUAUGAAUGAUUAUAACAACGAAACUAGUAAUAGAUAAUUAUGUUCGACUGCAAUGGCGGUAACCCGAAUUUAAUCGUCAUCUGCUGGAACGACAAAACUUGUGAAUAACUGUGAUCAAUCGCAAUGGCGGUGACCAACACGUAAUGUGAACGAUCAUAAUGACAGUAAUCAAUAUAUAAAUUAUAAUCGACCACAACAAUGGAAUCUAAAAAUAAUAAAAGUAGGUAAAUUGGCGGCAAAGAUGGACUAUUGUAUAGAUUAUUGAAUGUGUUUCGAAUGAGCAAUGAUAUCAAAUGAAUUAUGCCUUCAAUGCGGGAAAUGAUGCCUAUAGGGAGGGAAAAUGAUAUUAAAUGAAAUAUGCCUUCAGGGAGGGGAAUGGUAUCAAAUGAAUUAUACCUUCAGGGCAGGAAAACAAUAUCAAAUGAGUCAUGCUUUAAGGGUGAGAAAUGAUAUCAAAUAAAUUAUGCAUUUGAGGUGAAAAAAAUGUUAUAAUAAAAAAAACACCUUUGCGACAAUGACUUUUAAUUUAAACUUAUACUGGUCGAGAUGGAAAGGGCUAAAAGUAUUCAAAGACAUAAGUUACAAGUAAUGAGAAGAAUUGCUGAAUAUGGAUGAUGUAAAACAUUAACCAAAAUUAUUGCAUUGAAUUGAUGAGUACAUGGUUGAUGUACAAUACAUGUUAUAAGUGUUGAGAUAAAUUAAUGACUAGUGUAUGUAAUAUAUAGAUCUCAAAUAUUGAAAUGGGUCAUUGAAUAUAAUCGAUGUAAAUCCCAAGCUAUGAUUAUUGAAAUAGAUCUAUGAAUGUACAACGACAUAAAACAUGAAAUGAUAACUAUUAACAUGAAUAAACAAUCGUGGUUGAUGUAAACUCCAAGCUAAAAUUAUAGAAAUAAAUCAAUGAAGUUAUAGUUGACGUAAAAUAUAAAUUAUGGUAUUGAAAUAAAUUGGUGAAUACGAUAGAUGUAAUGUAUGAAUUUUGAGUACCAUAAUCACUCGGGGAAUUUAGGUAAUUUAUGUAGAAUAAUGAGUUAUGAUGAUUAUUGAAUCGGGUAAAUGAAUACGGUUUUUGUAAAGUAAAAGCUAUGAUUAUGGAAUUGAGAUAAUAAAUCCUAUUAUUAAGAUAAGAUCAACUGAAAGGUAUUGGAUUGGGUAAAUGAGUGUGGUUAUUCUAAGGUAUAAGCUAUUAAUAAGAAAAUGAAAUAGAUUAAUGAAUCCAGAAGUUAAAUUAAAGUUUGAGUAAAUGAAAUUGAAUGGGAUAAAUGAAUCUACAAUUAAGUUAAAACAUGAGUUAUGAGUAUAAUAUGAGAUUAAUAAAUCUUUAAUUGGAUUGAAGCACUAAAUAUGAUUAUUGAAAUGAAUUAAUGAAUGCAUAAUUGAUAUAGAUCAUGAGUUCGGAGUAUAUAGAUAAAUCGAGAAACAUAUUUCAUUAAAAGCAGGAGUUGUGGUUUUUAAAAUGAGAUAAUGUAUAUGGUUAAUUUAAAGCAUGACUUAUGAUUAUCUGAAAAGAAUUAUUGAAUACAUAGUUAACAAAAUUUUAAGGUAUCCAAGGUGGUGACUUAUAAUAAAGAUUAAUGACAUUGUGUUUGUUACUAGAAUUGUAAUAAAAAUAUUAGUGGUACUGAAAGCGGACAUGCUUACUCUAUUUUCUACGUGAUACGGGUAUGUUUCAUCUCUCACUACAAUCUUGAUUUUGCUAAUCAAACUUUCAUGGUCAUUUUAUUAGCAGAAGAAGAUUGUAAAUUUAUCAUGAUUAUGUAAAUAACUUAUCACAUGUAUUUAAGUAAUACACACACAAGAAGGAAAUGAUUAUUCUUUUUUAAUUUGAAAAUGAUUUUAUAUAUAUAAAGAGAGAGAAUUACCUCCAAAUUUCACAUACACAACAAUUAAAAAGAAAAUAUUUGUAUGAAAAGUUUGGGUUGUUACAAUACAUAUAAAUCAAUGAAUAUGAUUUCUUUUUUUUUUCUUUACAAGUGUCUCAUGAGAUAUAUUCGCGAGUUAAAGGUGAUAUAUCAACGAAUUAAAAGUAAAAAUGAAAAAAAUAAGUUGUUGUCUAGUUUUUAUAUUAACUAGAAACCCUAAUCGGUAUUCAAAGAAUUUUUAAUAAGAGAUUGAUUAUGUUAGGGAAGAUAAAAUUAAAUCACCAUAAAGCAUCAUAUUUAAGAUAAGUUGCAUUGUUAUUUAUUUUUAAUAAUAAAUACACCUAUUAUGCUUUUACUAAAGCUUAUCUUAACUAGUAUAUACAUCUUUCUUAUUAAAGAAAAAAACUACUAAAACUCAAAACAGUGAUUCGAGUCUUAAGCCUAAUAAUAAAACUUAAUCCUUACUUUCAAAAUUUAAGGCAUUAACUUGAAAGAAUAGUAAAUGAUUAAAUGGACUUCAAGCUCGUUUUCUUAAAUUAUAUUCAAAAUAAGCUCAAAAGCCUUAAUUCACAUUUUAUGAGCCUUGGUAAGGUAAGAUUAACCUACCCCAGAUUCACUCAUAAUAAUAGGGUAAUAUAUCUUGGCCUAAAAAAAUAAUUAUAAAUAAGCAUUUUGAAUGCAUUGAUAAAAAAAAAAAACACAUAUAUAAGAACCAAAAGCUGGAAUAAUUUACGUGAUAUGUUGUUGUUGUUGAUAUUAUUAUUAUUCUUAUUAUUAUUAUAGUCACCUGACUAUACAGGUGGAAUAGCGGUGUACCUGUUUGAAAGUGUGGUUGCAGUUGCUUUUCAUAAUAUUUUUUAUUUUUAAAAAUUAUUUUUGAUAUCAGCGCAUCAAAAUGAUCUAAAAACACCAAAAAAAUAUUAAUUUGAAGCAAAAAAAAUAAAAAAAUUUCAAAAUUUUUUAAAAGCGCUUUUGAAACGCAAAAACAAACAGGUGAAUGAAAAAGCUAUGCAUCAAGGAGCACCCUUCAAUUCAUAUAUCAAAUCCAUGUGUGUGAAUAUAUAUAUAUAUAUACACACACACACACACACUUUUAUGCAUAGUUAUUUAACCCGGAUCGGUCAAUCAAGUUGCUGGACCGAUUCGAGUAAGAUUAAAGACCGGCAAGAGCAAAAAAACAGUCAAACCCAGUCCGCUGGGUCGACCCAUGACCAGGGCGAUCCAGUGUUAAAACUGGGCCUGGUUAAAGAAAAAAUAGGAAAAAUCAUGACCAGGUGUGACCCGGCCGACCAGGCGGGUUGACCCGGAGACCCGGUCAAAAACCUGGUUGGACCCGUUGACCUUUUUUUUUACUAAAACGACGCCGUUUUGAAUUUUUUUAAAAAUAGAAAUUGACCCGGGCGACCCGAUGACCCGGUCAAAACCCGGAACCCGGGUCUUGGACCGGACCAGGUUUAAAAACUAUGCAUUUCUCCACUGAAAACACUGGUGCUCUAUUUAACAAAAAAAAAAAUAGAAUUUGAGUUUAUUGUACGUAAAAAAUUAAAAGAUCAAAAUUAAAACAAAUAAAUAAUAGCAAGCCUUUUGUUUUUAAGAAAAAUAUAAUAUUAAUUUUGAUCCUUUUUUUAUCUUUGAUUCUCAACCUUUUCUUUUAUUUUCAACUUGAUUUUUUUAUGUUGUGUUGAUUGAAAUUUAAAAUUAAUAAAAUAUUAUGAUUUAUUUUUUAUUCGAUUAUCCUAAUCUCAAGAAAAGUCAAACUAUUGGAUUGACACUUGUUUUCAUGAAAAAUAGUCCAAUUUUAUUGUUUAAGAGAAAUUAAAGAUGAGGAGAUCAAAAUUGAAACAAAGAUAAAAUAUGAGGCCUUUUAAAAAAAAAUGUGUUGGCACCUUUUGCCUUUGCGAUCUUAUCAAAUUUCUUUCUUGGUCCCUUUAGUUUGUAAAUUAAACAAUUUGGUUUAAAAUUUUAUUUUGCUCACAUUUUGUUUUGUGAGUUUGGAAAAGGAUAUAAAAUUAUCGAAUUACAAUAAAAAAAGGUGACUUUUCAAUGAUAAAACUUGUUAUCCUUUGUACUAAUAAAUGAGGAGAGUUUCAUUUAAGUUUUUUUUCCCUUCAAUUUGCAUAAAAAAGUAGACAUGGUCUCAAAAAUGUUUUUGGAUUUGAGUUAGUUUUUUGUUUUUAAUUAAUUAAAUGUUGAUUUAAUAUCAUAAAUGAAUUUUUAAGGUACAUUGGGUGUUUCUUUGGUGUUUUUUAUUGUAAAGGAAAUUUUUUACCCCUUGAAGUUGAUUGUCCAACAUUCCAACCAACUGUUAUAACUAAAGUCUGAAAUGAAAGGUGACACAAUGCUUGUUGUUUGUCCCAAACGUACAUGUUUAGGUAUUUUUUUUAAAGGCUUAAUUCCCCGUGCUUGAUUUAUUUUUUUUCCUUUAAUUUUUUUUUUAUUUCAACUUUCAAAGUUGUUUUCUUAUUUUUUUUUAUUUUCACCUUUAACAUUUUAUUAAUUUUAAAUUGGUUUUAUAAUUUAUUUCGAUUUAUUUUUUAUAAGUUUAUCAUAGUCUCAAACAAACUUCCUAGCAUUUGGUUGUUGUUCAAUUUUGUGAGCGUCUAUUUUUUUUUAUCAAAUAAUAAAAUAAAGUUUAGUUUCAAAAAAAAGUUAUUAAUUAAAAGUAAAGGAGUCCACGACCCGAAUCACGAGUUUGAUGGGUUAACUUGGGGUAGUUAGACAAUGAGUUUCAUAAUUUGUUUUAGUUUAUUUUCUAUGAGGUUAUUGUAGUGUUAAAUAAACGUCUUAUUUGGGUUGGUGCUCCAUUUUGCAAGUAUAUAUUAUAUAAUUAAAUAUAUAAUAGUUUUAAAAAAAGAUUAUUAAGCUCAAUCAAAUCCAUGAACCGUGUCGUGGAUUUGGAGGGUUAGCUUAGGUUACUUUGAAACUGACUUCAUAAUUUAUUUCGGUUUGUUUUAUAUGGGAUUGUCGGUCUCGACCAAACAUCAUAACAUUGAAUUGUUGCUUAAUUUUGUUAGUAAUUUUUUUAUCAUAUAAUUAAAUAAAAAAUAAUUUAAAAACUUUUUCUCAACCUGAUAGAGUCUAUAACCCAGAUUACAGAUCUGGCGAGUUAGACCGUAAAACUCGGGUAGAUCCAAUAUAUUACUAUUUUAAUAUUUUUUUUAAAUAAUAAUAUAUUGAAAUCUAGUAAAAGUCAUACCAUGUUUUUUUAGAUAGUUCAAAUUAUUUUUGAAACUACCAGGCUAACUGUGUAAUGUUAGGAUAAUUCUUGCAUGAUUUUAAUGUGAAACUUUGGUUAAGUAAGAAAUCGGAUCAAAAUACUUAUAGGUUAACCCAUUGGCUACCAAAAAGAUUCCCACAACCUAAAUAUUUAUUUUAUAUGUUAAAAUAUGUUUUUAUGUGACUUGCGGCAUAACACAAACCACCUAUAUAGUUUAUGUGUUUAUUUAAAGACAACUAUGUACUAGUGAUUUUAUUUUAUUUGGUCCUUAAUUUUUCAACAUAAAUAUAACUUAGUCCUUUAUAUUUCAAGAACCUAUAACAUAGCUCCUUCAAUAAGUAAAAUAAAAUAGCAUGCAACGUUAAGAAGUACGCUAACCAAUUAAGCAGUGACUGAACGGAAAACUGUAAAAGCAACUCACAAGGGCAUUGUUGGAGCACCCUUAAAUAGAGGGAUAGAGAUAAGGAAAAAAACCGAAAAACUGAUUAAACCGGAAAAAAAAUAACCGGAAAAACUGAAUCGUGAAAAAAAACCGAUUAAAAUUUUGAAAAAAACGAUCGGUUCGGUUCGGUUUUGGUUUUAUAAGUCUGAAACUGAAAAAACCAAACCGAACCUAAACCGGAAAAAAACCGAGCCUAACCAAAAAAAUCAAGCCAAACCAGUUUGAACCGGUUUUUGUCCAAAAAAACCAAACAUCAUAACAUUGAAUUGUUGCUUAAUUUUGUUAGUAAUUUUUUUUAUCAUAUAAUUAAAAAAAUAUAGUUUAAAAACUUUUUCUCAACCUGAUAAAGUUUAUAACCCAGAUUACAGAUCUGGCGAGUUAGGCCGUGAAACUCGGGUAGAUCCAAUGUACUGCUAUCUUAAUAAUUUUUUUUAAAUAAUAAUAUAUUGAAAUCUAGUAAAAGUCAUACCAUGUUUUUUUUUUAUGAUAGUUCAAAUUAUUUUUGAAACUACCAGGCUGACUGUGUAAUGUUAGGAUAAUUCUUGCAUGAUUUUAAUGUGAAACUCUGGUUAAGUAAGAAAUCGAAUCAAAAUACUUAUAGGUUAACCCAUUGGCUAUCAAAAAGAUUCCCACAAUCUAAAUAUUUAUUUUUUAUGUUAAAAUAUGUUUUUAUACGACUUGCGGCAUAACACAAACCAUCUAUAUAGUUUAUAUGUCUAUUCAAAGACAACUAUGUACUAGUGAUUUUAUUUUAUUCCGUCCUUAAUUUUUCAACAUAAAUAUAAAUUAAUCCUUUUUAUUUCAAGAACCUAUAACAUAGCUCCUUCAGUCUAAAUAAGUAAAAUAAAAUAGCAUGCCACGUUGAGAAAUACGCUAACCAAUUAAGCAGUGACUGGACGGAAAACUGUAAAAGCAACUCACAAGGGCAUUGUUGGAGCACCCUUAAACAAGAAAAUCUCGGUACACAAAUCAAAGUAAAAGAAAAAAAUAUUAAUUAUAAUAAAAUAAAAUAAAAUAAUGUAUUAUCUAUUUAUCUAUCAAUUAUAUAAUUAUCGAAGAACAUAGAAACAAAGGAGCAUGCUAACUAAGGGAUAGAGGGGAGCCAAAAAACUGAAAAACUGAUUAAACCGAAAAAACCAAAAAACAAAUAACUGAAAAAACCAAACCGUGAAAAAAAACAGAUUAAAAUUUUAAAAAAACUGACUGGUUCGGUUUUAUAAGUUUGAAACCGAAAAAACCGAACUGAACCCAAACCGGAAAAAAACGGAGCCAAACCAAAAAAACCAAACCAAACCAGUUUGAACCGGUUUUUGUCCAAAAAACCCGAACCGAAACCGGUCGGUUUGAACAGGUUUCGGUUCGGUUUUGGUUUUUUUUUAAAAAAAAAAUAGUUUGGUUACUUUUUUUUAAUAAAAAUCGAACCGAACAAAAAAUAAUCACCCCUACCGAGGAAUAUAAUCAUUUGAGGGGUCAACUAAUCAAGGAUCGUGAUUUUUGAAUAGCCAAGCAAUCGAGAAGAUUUUUUUGGAUAUAUAUAUAUAUAUAUAUAUAUAUAUAUAUAUAUAUAUAUAUAUAUAACCUGCAGCCUAUUUCCUAGUUUAUCUCUCCUUUCUAUGGAUUCCGUUUUCCACAUGACUACUUCCAUUUCAGCUUACUCUACCUCUGAAUCUUCUAAAAGCAGAAGGAUUGUACAAAGUGAAUAGAUAACUAUUGAAGAUUUUACAAAAAACAUUGAUGAUUGAAAAUUUUCAAAAAUUUCUCAAACUCAGAUUUAUCAAAAAUCUAAAUAUGAUAUUUUCAAAACCGAUUUCACUAUCAAAACUGAAGAAAGAGAUAUUCAGCUUAUAAAAUCUUUUGAAACCAUCCAACUCCUCUCUCAAAAAUCCUUACAAAAACAUCUAGCUCGAAAUUAUAAAUAUAUCCAUGUUGGCCUUAUCGAAGUCUGGAUAAAACCCCUUACAAAAAAAGGUUUGAACACCUCCAUUCUAGCUGUCCUUCGGGAUGCUAGAUUUCAAAACUUCCAAGACUCCCUCCUCAGUUCUAUUGAGUCUAGCCUUUGCAGUGGCCCGGUAUCAUUUGACUGUUAUCCAAACAUAACCAUAUCCCUCAAAGACAAGAAUAUUUUGCAAAGUAUGCUACUACAAAUAAAGACCCAUAAUUAUGACAUGCUAGAAGGAUCUAUCCAUGUUGCUCUCAUAUUCAAAAUUCACUACAAAGCCAUGUUCUCAGCCUUUGCCAGCAAACACAAAUUCCAAUCUCAAAAAGGCGAAACACUCAUUCUACAAACAGAUUUAUCCCGCUCAAACACUGUUGUCCCAAAAGCAAUCUAAUGGAAAGAUAUAUCCCUUCCAGAAGAUUGGAUCCUCGAAGGUGUAGCACCACCAGAAUUACCUCAACCACCUCAACCCAAUAUCCAAAUUAAAAACAUUACCCAGUACACAUAUUGGAAAAGUCAAAUUGUCUUUCCAUCGACACUCUACAAGUUCUAGAUUCUCAGAAGAAUCUUCCUCUUCCAAUACAAUAGAUCUAGGAAGAAUUUCCAAAAUCCCUUCUAUUAUCAAUAUCCCUUAUUACGCAAACCCUCCUAGAAAAUCUACAUAUGAUAUCCCUUCUACUAGUUUCCAAAAUGCAGACUACACUACAAAUAUACCAAAACUUGUUUAUACAGACCUUGAGCAACCAUCUCCUCCAGCUUCACCAACCUUUUCAGCUGUUACUGAAAACAUCCAAAACGAGUUGAAUGUUUUGACUUCAGAAAAGCAUUUUUCAUAAACAAAACUCUUUUCAGAAGAGAUUUUUAUGGUGAUCAUAAUAUUGAAAAACGCACUUGGUUUUUUCAACAUUUUCUCCAACAAAGAACUGAUAUCCAAAAACAAUUUUAUGCUUACAUUGAAACCCAUAAAGUACAAAUUUUGUUCUUUGAUUGGUUUGAAUUUCAUUAUGUGCCAAUACAACAUAUUACAUAUCUAUUUGCAUCCAUUAAACAUGCAUGUCCUAUCACAACCCGUUCCAAAACUCCUACAUGGACCCUUACCAGUGGACCUACAGUUGAGUUUGACCAUCCACCUUUACGCAACAUACAACUUACUCACAAAAACCAGACAGUUGAUGAAGCUCCAUACAAAUUACCCUGAGAAGAUACUCUCACAAACACCAAACAUAUCAUUUAACAAAACAAUUUCACAAACACCAACCUUCAUCCAUUUCAUGACUGAUAAAAACCCCAUUGACCUCAAGCUAAAAAAACCCAGUAUUCAAACCCUACCAAGUUACUAAAACAAGCCAAGCACAAAUCCAAGAAAACCAAACAGAUUUUCUUAGAGCCAUUAAAACACACCUACAAAACAUUGACCGAACAACCUUGACUGUCCCAGACACACCUCAACAAUCCAACCCUUCAUCCUCUAUAAAUCAGGUUAAUACUCUUCAAAAUAACCCCGUAUCAACCUCCGAUAUAGAUACUUUUCAAGAACAGCCUUUUCAACUACACAGACUUACCUGGCAAGCUCCCAAAACGACCAUUGCUCCAGACAUUUCCAUAUCUACUGAACCAACUGUCAUUAGCCAACAUAAAUAUAAUGCUUCUUCCCUCUAUGAAUGGAACAUAGAUGAGAUGUCUAAGUACAAUAUCUUAAACACCCUCCAGCAAAUGACCAUGGCAGCUAAUGCCUACAAAACCUAAACAGGAACCCCAGAUAAAGCCAUAGUUGAACUCCUUAUUGCAGAUUUCUCUGGCCAACUUAAAGGAUGGUGGGAUUACCAUCUCACUGAAACAGACCACUUACAUAUUCUAAACUCUAUACAAACCUAUGAAGACCAAACACCAAUCCUUGAUCCUUCAGGAAACACCAUCCAAGAUGUUGUGUCCACCCUUAUCCUUACCAUCUCCUUAUAUUUUGUCGGAGAUCCUUCCCAUCUGAAAGACAAAAAUGUUGAACUUCUCUCCAACUUUCGGUGCAAGAAACUCAGUGACUUUCAGUAGUAUAAAAAUACCUUCCUUACUCGUGUUAUGCUUCGGGAAGAUUCAAACCAGCCCUUUUGGAAAGAAAAAUUCCUUGUAGGCUUACCAAUUCUCUUAGGAGAAAAGGUCCGAAACAAAAUUAAGGAAACCUUUACAACCAAAACCAUACCAUAUGACUAGCUUACAUACAGUGAGCUUGUGAGUUUCACAAAAAAAGAAGGUCUUAAGAUCUGCCAAGACCUCAAACUCCAAAAACACCUAAAGUGGGAAAUGAAACGUACCAGGCAAGAACUUGGUAGUUUCUGCCACCAGUUUGACCUUUCCACUAAAAAACCCUCCUGCAGUGGAACCUGUUCACAACCCAAAAAAUGUUCAAGCCAAAAACCUCCUUAUAAACGAACAACCCAUAAAUACCGACAACGGUUCUAUUCCAAACCAGAUCAACCUUACUACAAAAAGCCCUACAAAUUUACCAAACCAUAUAGACCUUUCCAGUCAAAACCAAAACAAAAAUUUGAUCCCAAAAACAUUACCUGUUACUAGCUCUGUUACCCUUCAUCUAACCCUUCAAGCCGCUCUAUUUUACCCUCUACUAGCACUAAUACCUAUGACCUUACAAAGAUCCUUAACAAAAAGAAAUCUAAAACCACAAUCACCAUUCCAGAAUUACAUUCUGAGAUCAAAACUCUCAAAUCCGAACUACAAACCCUAAAACAAGCCCAACAAAAAGACUCUGCCAUAUUACAACAUCUUCAGUCCAAAAUCGAAAGCCAGUCUGACACUGAGUCUGAACCAGAAGAUCAAACCAUUGAAUCUCAUGUAUUGCCCCAUACACUUACAAAUAUUGAGCAUAUUCCAGAUGAUUUCCUGAAUGUAUUAACACAAAUAUCUUCAAAAAAAAUAUUUGAUUCAGAUUACGUUUAUUUUCUCAGAAGAUUUCAAACUUGACACUAUUGCCUUAUUUGACACAGAUGCAUAUUUAAACUGCAUCAAAGAAGGCGUAGUUUCAAAAUGAUUUUUACAAAAUACCUCUAAAAAUCUCUCUGCUGCUAAUAAUUCAAAAUUGCAUAUUGCAGGAAAAACCCAAGCCUCUGUUUUCAACAACGGUAUUUCUCUUAAAACAUUCUUUGUUGUUACAAAAGAUAUUAAUCAUACCAUCAUUCUUGGUACUCCAUUCAUUGACAUGAUCACUCCAUAUCAAGCACAUCAUAAUUGUAUUACUUUCAAAAUCAAUAGCAUCAAACUCGUUUUCCCAUUCUUAGAAAAAUCUAAGACUAGAAAUUUGAAUUUGAUUAAAGCAUGUUCCAUACAUACUUAUCAUAUCAAUGCACUGAUUCAUGGCAAACAAUUCCACCUACAUGAUUUACAAAACCAUAUCUCUUUUUGUCGUAUCAACAAACAAUUACAAAACUUUGAUUUACAAAAGAAAAUCAUUGAUUUACAAAAUACGUUUGAACAACAGAUCUGUUCAGACUUACCUAAUGCUUUCUGGACAAGAAAACAACACAUCGUUGAUCUUCCCUAUGAAGAUACUUUUUCAGAAAAACUUAUACCUACAAAAGCAAGACCUAUACAGAUGAAUGCUGAUUUAGAACAGCAUUGCAGACUUGAAAUCCGCGAUCUCGAGUCUAAAGGUCUUAUCCAAAAGUCAAGAUCACCCUGGUCGUGUGCAGCCUUUUAUGUGAACAAAAACUCUGAAAUUGAAAGAGGCACACUAAGACUUGUGAUCAAUUACAAACCUUUAAAUUCUGCUUUAAAAUGGAUCAGAUAUCCAAUUCCCAACAAAAAAGAUUUGUUGCAAAAAUCGCACUUUGCAUUCAUAUUUUCUAAAUUUGAUAUGAAAUCCGAAUUUUGGCAAAUCCAGAUUGAUCCCAAAGAUAGAUACAAAACUACUUUUACAGUUUCUUUUGGCCAAUACGAAUGGAAUGUCAUGCCCUUUGGCUUAAAAAAUACACCAUCUGAAUUUCAACGCAUCUGAAUGACAUCUUCAAUGCACAUUCAAAAUUCUGUAUUGUUUACAUUGACGAUGUGCUUAUUUUUUCACAUUCCAUAGAUCAACAUUUCAAACAUCUACAUACAUUCUUUCAUACUGCAAAACAAAAUGGUUUAGUUGUUUCUAAAACAAAAAUUUCUCUCUUCCAAACCCGUGUCCGUUUCCUAAGCUACUAUAUCAGCUAAGGCACUGUAACACCAAUAGAGAGAUCUUUAACCUUUACAAACAAAUUUCCUGAUAAGAUCACUGAUAAAACCAAUUGCAAAGGUUUUUAGGCAGUAUAAAUUAUGUUUUGAAUUACUAUCCCAAUAUUAGUCAUCUAACCAAACCUUUACGUGACAGGUUAAAAACCAACCCCAUUCGCUGGUCUGACCUCCAUACCGACCUAGUCAAACAGAUCAAGAAACAAGUCCAAACCAUUCUUCUCCUCCAUUUAGCUAAUCCCUUAGCUCCUAAGAUAGUCGAGAACGAUGCCUCUGACCUAGGAUAUGAUGGAAUUCUUAAAGAAGUACAAGAUAACAAAGAACAAAUACUCCAGUACACAUCCGCCCACUGGAAUGACUGUCAAAAAAAUUACUCCACUAUAAAAAAGGAGAUCCUUUCAAUUGUUUUUUGUAUUACAAAAUUUCAAAGUGAUUUGUUAAAUCAAAAAUUUCUUUUACGUGUUGACUGCAAAUCUGCAAAAGAAGUUUUACAAAAAGAUGUCUAAAAUCUUGCUUCAAAACAGAUUUUUGCCCGAUGGCAAGCUAUUUUAAGUAUUUUUUAUUUCGAUAUUGUCUACAUGAAAGAAGAUUCAAAUUCAAUCCCUGAUUUUCUAACCCGAGAAUUCCUUCAAAACAAGUCAUGAUGCCUCCUAAAGCAAAAGCCAAAGACAAGGGGAAAGCCCCUUAAACCCAGCCUACAAAACCAGAAAGCCCCAAGCCUUCUGCAAAACUCAUGUCUUCCGCCAUCUUAGCUGCCAAACCUAUCAAAUCUUGGUAUGAGGCAGUUAUUGAGGAAGAAGAAACUACAAAACCACCACAGGUACAAACAGACACAGUUCAACAUUGGGUUAACACUAUAUCCAAAUCAUCAGAGUUACUCAUGGCAUUACAAAAAGUGUCCCAACAAGCCUCCAGUGACUUCGUAUCUCAAACAGGUAGUAUUUCCAAAUCCCUUUCAAAACCCUAAGGAGGCAUUUCUGCUUCAAAACCCCUCCUUUCUUUACAACAAACCAAUUUUUCAAAAACCAAAUCCAAAUAUAUUUUCAAAACUACUUUCCAAAAUAUUUUAACUAUGGAAGAAGGAUUUUAUCAUGAAAAUCCUUUCAUUGCUGCUUCAAAAAAUUUCCCUCAAAAUUGGCACUACAAACCCUGGAAUUUAGCCAAACCACAAUCCUACUAUGCUGCCAUCCUUGAGAUUACUAAUUCUGUCAAGUUCAAACACUUCAAACUACAUUCUGAUCACACUGAACCGGCAUAUUCUACAUGCAUCAUUCACAAGGUUAUCCACCCUAAAGAUUGGGGACAACCUUUACAUCAACCUCUCUCCUUCCCCAUACACUUCCGUACAAACCCCCAGGACUUCAAUACUUCCUAUACAUAUUGGGAUUACCAACAUGCAUGGUUCAAUGAUUUCCUCCUACAAAAUCAAAACCAUAGUCAUUCUUGGCUUUUCUACUUCCAUAGCGUCAUGAAUACUACAAACCUCCCCCUAUGGUUCCUCCAAUGGUGGGACUACUAUGGUUGUCAUGUUGACUACCUCAAAGAACAUCCUCUGGUUGAAAAUGGUUACCUUCACUUCAAAAAUAACUUCCAACCAGUUCUUUCUGAAAGGAAGUUUUCUUCCCUUCUCAUUUUCUGUACAAAUUUUUUUGUUCCAUGAGUAUGUUCGUGAUUCUAUGAAUAUAAUCUACAAAACAAAAAUCCAGUACUUGUUCGCAAAUUCAAAAUCAAAUGGUGGGAUUCCUUUGCAGUUGAGUCCAAAAGUUCCAAAUUAGCUGUUACGGAAUGGCUACAAAAACACCAAACAACUCCCAUCAUUGAUCAUCAUCCUCAAUCAAAAUUUCUAGCCUGAAAUGCUCAAACGGCAGCUCUCCUUGCCUCUGCUAGAACAGAGGAAGAAUACCUACAAAUAGUACUAGGCAUUAUACAAAGCCAAGACCCGAAAACAGUCUUGUCCCAAUCCAGCUCAUCUGGCUCGACAACUCCUGUCGUUUCCCUUGGAGACGAUAAUGAAGAUGACUGUUUUGGUAUCCUGCUGCCUAUCAAGCGACAUUAAAAAAAAAGAGUAUUUCAGGCUCAUCUGUUUAGAGCCCAUAUCUUUCGACUCAACUGUUUUGAGUCCCUUUUUAUUUUAAAGCCCAUUUGUUUUAGGCUUUUUUCCUAUAAAUAUUACUUGUCACUGCAAACAGACAAAUCCACUGUCAGUGGCAAGAAGACAACAAAUGAAAGUCCCAUAAAAAAACAUGGGCAAUUUUCAUUUUGUCGUCACCCAAUCAUGGCAGGCAAUAUCACAUGGGUUCACAUGGGUUCUGAAGGAAUCUUCAAGCUUUCCAACAAGACGUUUUGGCCUCUUCCAUGACAACUCGUCUAUAAAAGGAGACUCCUAAGACCUUAGAGGACAGACUAUCAUUUUCCCUCAGAAAAAUUAGACUCUCCCCUGUAAACUCGUAUCUGUAGCCCAUAUCCACUCUCCUCUGUAACCAAUAUCUUCUGUAUUGAUUAUCAAUAUCUCCUGUAUUGAUUUACAUUACAAAUUUAAGUAAAAUUCUAUUUUCGUUACUUACAUUCUUGUUAUAUUUUAUGUAUAUUUAAGUAUGCUCUGUGUUUGAUCAAGGAUCCUGAUAUUGUUGGUCUUGCCUUGUUCAUUUACAUCAGAAAUCUGUUUAUAUUUAAUUGCACUUAUUUUCAUAAAAUCAGUAUAUAGGCUGGAAACCUGGGACCCGAUCUUUUAGAUCAUUCUCAGGUAUAACAACGUCACGUACUGAGGUUUUCUAUAUAAUGUUUUCUCUUAUAUAUAUAUAUAUAUAUAUAUAUAUAUAUAUAUAUAUAUAUAUAUAUAUAUAUACAAAACUAGAUUUUAAGAUACAAAAUAAAGGAUUUCACACAAAAGUUAAAAUUAUCAUAAAAGCAAUCACACUCAAAACUUAAAAAUAUAAUUAAUUUGGUAUGAAAACUAAAGUCAUCAUGGAUUUAAGAAGAAGAAAUAAACAACAACAUCACGAUUACAUAAUUGGCAUAAAAGAACACAAGAUUUAAGCAAACAUAAAAAACAAUAGGAAUAAAACAUGCACACAACUUUGAUUUAAUUAGCUUGAGGUCAAAAUAUAAACUUAACUCGGAUUAAACAUGAAAAAUAAAUUAUAAAUGAAACAAACACACAUGAACGUGAUAAUUAAAUACAACAACAUGCUUGAAAUUUUAAAACCAAUUUUCAAAGUGCACACAAUUUCAUAUUUAAAGUUAGAGAAUAAUAUAAAUAAUAUUUUAAAAACUUACUUAACAACUUAAGCUAUUGGAUUGAGAUGAUUUUUUGAUAUGGUACUAAAACUUUGAUGACCAAACAGUGGCGAGUUCAAAUCUCAUCAUCUCCAUUUAUUUGAUAAAAAGUAAACACAAAGUAAUGUAAACAUGUGUAAGUUUCAAGACCAAAAAGUUUUUACUUGAGAGGAUAUAUUAGAGAAUAAUAUAAAUCAUAUCUUGAGACCUUACCUAACAGUUUAAAUUUUUAGGUUAAAUAAUUUUGAGCUUUUGAUAACCAAACACUCAUGAUAAUUAAUUACCACAACAUGCUUGGAAUUUUAAAACCAAGUUUCAAAGCUAAAAAAACAUUUUUUUUUAUGUAAACAUGACAAAAGAACACUAUAAUUAAAGUGCACACAAUUUCAUAUUUAACAUGAAAAUUCAAACACGAUAUGUAUUCAAAGUAGACAAUAAUAAAACACAAAAACAACACACAAACAAAUCAAAAUUUCACAUCACAUCAUGACCAAAUUGUUAUGUCUUGGAUAAUGUAAAAAUCAAUACAUCCCAUCCUCCCAAUCUCAUCACGAGCGUUGAACACAAAAUUAUCACUCAUCAAAUUCUCAUGACAAUCUUUGAUCCCUGGGGCAUUAUGAAUCGUCCAAGAUAAAUAUAUUCCACCAUUACAAAUACGCUUAAAUUAAGAAAUGUAGCAAAUAUUAGUAAUAUAAAAUAAAAAUCAGGGGAUGGAAGCACCUUGAUGAUCACUAGAACUUAGUUGAAAUAGUGGUGAUCUAUAGGUUUACAUGUCAUUACUAAUAUUGGUGUGUGGAUCCAUGAGAUUUGUUAUCGUUGAGCUCAUUGAAGGGCAUGUUUAGGGAUGUUAUUUUUGGUUUGUUUAAUUUUCAUAUAAAAAAAUUAACCAAACUAAAAUUAUUAUUUCUUAAAAUUUAAAACCCAAAUAAAAAAUAGUCGAGAAUUGUAACAAAAGCACAUCUUAUAUAUUUAAUGAGCUCAUCGAAUACCAUUUCAAACCCUUCUACGUUAAGAGACCAAAGAUAAAUUACAAAUAAUUAUCGGUCGGGUGGGAAAAAAAAUCCUGAAGGUGACAACACAGCCACCUCUAUAACUGACCGAAGGUUCAUGCUCCAGAUCUCAGAAUUUCAGACAGCCUAAGUAGCUGCGGUAACAAAAAACAAGUAUUAAAUGGCAAAUGAUAAGCACCACGUAAAACUGAGUUGGUGAAACAUGCAUCUCUAGUCUACAAGUGGAUUGAACUAUGCAUCUUUUUGUGUAACCUCUAUCCCUGUAGGUGCUUAGGGUAAUUACAAAAAAUAAGAAUGCAGUCGCAUCUAGCUAAAUACAGCCAAAAUAUCCUAUGAUGGUGAGAAGAAAGGGGAGGGGUGGCAAUGCAAGAGGAAUUAAAGAAAGCAUUAGUAGGAUUCAGGAGUCAGGAUGAGAAGUACCUUUAGCAGAAGGUUAAUCCUGAGGCUUCAUGGCAGGGAAGAGAAGCACCUCCUGCCCCCAAAAAGCAAGCAGAAAUAUGAGUGAUAGAUGAAAAUUUAAACCCCGUGCUGACAUGGUAGCGAGUGUGGCAGCAUUGGCACGCAAACAUGUGGACACGCAAAUAAAAUAAAAUAUGAAGAGGUGAUUUGGCACAAACCUUUAUAUUCUGUGAAUCAGUUAACAACAUAACUAACCGAUCAAUACCCAUUCCCCAUCCACCAGUAGGAGGCAAUCCAUAUUCAAGUGCCGUACAGAAUGUUUCGUCGAAAGCCAUUGCUUCAUCAUCACCUGAUUGUCGAUCCUGAAAUUUGGAAACAAAUUGCUUUCAGGUAUAAUUUCCAGUCAUUAGACUGACAUUGCAAACUGCAAAAUGAUGUGGGUUACCUUGAGUUGUGACUCAAAUCGUUCGCGUUGUACAACAGGGUCAUUCAAUUCAGUGUAUGCAUCGCAAAGCUGAGCAGUCACAGAAUAUCAAACAAUAUAAGAGGCGCAAAUCGAAGUAUAAGUAGGCAGAUGAAUUGAAGGGGAACGAAAAGUAUGAAUGAUGCAACUGAGAAAAAUACCUCAUGCUUGUUGACAAACAAUUCAAAGCGUUCGGUCAAGCCUGGUUUCGAUCUAUGCCACUUUGCCAAAGGACUCAUAAUCUCAGGUUGGUUAAUGAUGAAGGCAGGGUUUACACAAGUCUCUUCUAGAAAAUGUCCCACCAGCUGCAGACAGAAAAAGGUACAAUAACAUGAACCUUGAACAGUUGCUUGGUCCUUUUUUAAUGCUUAAAACAACUCAGCUUUUGACCUCAACAUUAACUCAAAAUCAGUACAGCACGCUCCAUGAUCGGUAAUUACUUCAUCUCUAUGUGUAAAAAGUAUGCAUCGAAGUGUAAUUUUGUUUCAAACAAUGAAUUAUGUGUAAAUGGGUAUCAAAGGCUUCUGUUAGAUUUUGGUGUUCAAAACCCCAAACCAUAGAAAUUCCCACCAUUCAUCCCCAACGAAUGCAGAACACAUGAAAAAACAAAUGCGAAAACAAAUUGAAUGAAAUACUUUCUAAUGUUUCCUUUCAUGAUUAAAGAUUUUCUCAGCAGACCAUAGACCUUGUUUCAUGCACAAGGCUGACUCAUCUACUUAAUUGUGAAAAAGUCUCUCUAUGGUACACACCCCAGGAUACAAGGAGAGAUCCUUUUUCUCAUUCAACGCCAUACAAUUUUACAACAGUCAACUAAACAAAGAGAUGGGGAAGAAGCAUUACUUUAUCCAGCAAACGAGUUGUCGUUUGAGGAGGGGGGCACUUGACCUCAAACCUCUCACAUGCAGCUACAAGAUAUUUGGUAGCUUCAUCACUUGAAAGGUCCUUUGGUAUAUUGAGGUUGGCCAUCUUCUCCAACUCCUCAAUCAUGUCAAUUCGUCUGCAACAGUUAAAAAACUGUUAAUUCAAUCAUCCACACAUAAAGUCAAAAGUUAAAACUAUCCUAUAGAUGAAAAGCAACAUUAUCUAACAGACCUAAAAGGAGGUGUAAAGUCAAUCUCAAUUGGAUCCUUGUCAAGCCCGUUGGCAUGAUAUUUAAUUUUGUAGCCACCUGUAAGUUCCUUGACCAUGCCUAUUUUAAAAAUACAAGUAUUUCAGUAAAAUUAAAAAAAUAAAAACAAUGUAAAAACGAAUUUUGCAGAUCCCAAAUAUUCACUCUUACCGCUCAACAUUUUCUCAGUGAGUUCCAUCAAGUCAUUGUAAUCAGCAUAAGCCAUAUAGAACUCACAAGUUGUGAACUCUGGAUUAUGUGUCAAAUCAAUACCCUCAUUCCUAAAUUGUUUUCCGAUUUCAUAAACACGGUCGAGUCCACCAACAACUAACUCUUUAAGAAAGAGUUCGGGUGCAAUGCGCAUGUACAGUUUCAUGUUCAGGUCAUUAUGAUGGGUUACAAAUGGACGGGCAGCAGCUCCGCCAGCAAUCAUAUUCAUCAUUGGUGUUUCAACCUGAGCACAAAAGUUGAAAAAAUCAGCAAGAAAUAAAUAGUUACAUAUGAGGAAAGCAUUACAGGUAGAGGCUUGCAGAACAGCAAAAUAGAUGACUGACCUCCAAGAAAUCAAGAUUGUCAAGAAAGCUCUUCACAUAUUUAAUGAUUUUAGAUCUGGUCUUGAAUAUUUGUUGAACCUCCAAAUUCAACAUUAGAUCUAGAUAUCGUUGGCGAUAACGUGUUUCCUAAAACAAAACAAUAAAACAAAUAAAUGACUGCUCCAAAGGGACACUGGAAAUUGUCAGAGACCCAUCAUGGAGGCUAUUCUUGUGCUAGAAAGAAUGGAAAGUGUGAUCUUAUAAGUUUCCCCAAGUAUCAUUCUAAGUCAACAGAGAAUAAAUCAAGACACAAAAAAUUUACAAGUUCAACAGUCACCCAGCUCAAAGAUAAUAUAAUGGUUUUAUUGCAUUAUUCACAAAAGAAAACACUAUCAUAGUUUCAAUUGCAUGACUAUUUUGAGUUGGUAAUCUGCUAUUCAAGUAUUACAAGACAGCAAGUCAUGCAACUUAGCUAACAUCAUUACUAGUAAGGCUAAUCCAACUAUAUCAAGCUAAAAAUCUUAGCCAGAAGGUCAGCUUCAUCCAUUAUCCUUUCUAGGCAAAUUCAUCCAGUCUGACAGUAACAUAGACAACAAAACUAAUUCAACCACUCAAAUAGUAAAUGGAAUUGACAGGCACAGCAAACUGGUCUUGUUUAGAAAGUCGUCCAUCCAAAAAAAGAGUUAACAAAGAAUUGAGAAGAAAAGAGACCUGAUCUUUCAAACAGACUUGAUUUCUUUUGGCUAAAUACCUGAUCUUUUAAAAUAUAUGCCUCAGGGUUCCUGACUGUUCCCGGGGCCCAAACCUCAGAUUUCUGUAGAACAAGGACACAAUUCCAUCAUAAUAUAAUUUCAGCCUGAGGCAGUAGAGUAACAAUAAAAGUUUCUAACCUUCACACAAGCAUCCGAGCCAGGGCCAGCUUUCUGCCUCGGCAUCAUGUGCAGACAAUGAGAUAAAACCGUAAAAGAUGUUGGAAACAUGCUCAACUCUCCCCUUUUGGUUUUUCCUGAAUUAUAAAAAAGAAAAAAGUAACAAAUAAAAAAGGCAAAACUAACAUAAUUAAAAGGAUGAAUUCCUAGCAGAAUCUAUAUUUAAGAUUGAAAAAAAAUGACAAGAUUACAGUUAUAGCAUAGCAUCCAUAGCAAGAUGCCUCCAGAAAACAUUACUCAUUCAAUCUGACUUUGAAUAAAACAGAAGGGAGCAAUAUUUUGCAAAUGCCUCAACAUAAUAAUCAAAACAGUCCAACCAGGAAAAAAUAAAAAAGAUGCUUUCCUCUCAAGUGUUGUUUGGUUGGAUCAUGUCUUUAAUUAUUCUGCUGACACAUUGAUAGAAACAUACAAAUGAAUGCCCAUGUGCAAGCAUGCACACAACAAAGGUAUACUUGCCACAUACAGAGAGAACUUUUUAUUACACUUCUAUAAAACGGAGUUAUUGAUCAGUUCAAUUGUUAAAAAUUCACCUAGAAUUCUUCAACAUCAAUAUCUCAAAUGUUUCAAAAAUAUGUCCUGGAGAAUAUAAGUGUAGCUCUCCAUUCUCACCUCACUAUACACAAGUUGCAUUUCUUAGCCAGCACAGAAUAUAGAGAUAUGCUUCAAACAGCAGUCCAGUCUUGAGAACAUGGCCACCAUGGAAGUUGACGAGUAAUUUCUCUAAACUAGGUCUUGCGUACUUUUCUCAACUAAUUCUAUAUAUGCUUUCUACAAGUAUGCAUAUUCAUGGAUACACGAGCACAUGCACGCAUGCAUAUACACACACAGAAUUGGAGGGAGAGGGCUUAAACAUUAUGUACAACAAAUGAGGUCCAGUUCAACACAAGUUGAACUCAUGAUUACUCAAUCUCAGAGAGAAUCAAUCACCCCAAGUUUUCAAUACAAUAUUUGUUGCUAGGGAGAUUUGCAUCUCCUAUGAACACCUCAAUACAAAGUUCAAUAGUUAUUGGUGGCCUUCAGUUGCAAUUAGGUCAGGACAAAGAAAAGAAUUGGGAAUGAAAUAUUUUGUUUGAUAGUACAAAUAUUGAAGGUGAACUAAGACUCUUGUUUAGUUAUUUCUUUGUUGAACAUAUUAUUAGUUAAAAAUAUAAUAUAAAUUCAAAGUUAAGCAUAUUAACCAACACUUGUACCACACCAAACCUGGAAAUCCAGUGACACCAACAAUAUCACCACGCUUCACACUUGAAUGGAGCUUAGAAAACUCCGCUUCAUCAAGGCCUGACUUGCUGAAAUUACAGAAAAGAAAAAUUAUCCAUUUGAAAUAUAAAAGAAGCAAAGAAAGAAGUAAAAAGGAAGAAUGGGGUUGGGAGACACAAUAGCAUGCAACAAAUCAAUCCAAUAUAUCUGGAAGGAGAAGGAGAGACAAUAGAUAAUUUAAUCAAUCUAUCAAUUGAUAUGAGCAUCCAUAUAAACUACUGGAAUAUAAAUAUAAUCAUAAAGCAUAAGGAAGAUAACAAUGAUCCAUCUAUGUAAACGAGAUCAUAAUUUUUUACUUCUAACUUAGCACUAUCCACAUAAAGCAGCUAAAAUUAACAUAGAGAAUGUGAGUUUCAAAAGGUGAAGGUGCUCUUAAAGAUGAAAAUAGUCGCUGUUACAUAAGAAGUUAUUGGAUUGAACAACAAAAAAUGGAAUAUGUUUUACCGCUUUCAACAAAGGAAUCCAAAAAGAAGGAUUUGUUGCCCAUGACCAGGAUGAAAUGCAACAAACUGAGCAUAAACGAGUUUGAAGUGAUGAACAUAUGGAAAAAAAUCUAAUAUACCUUGCAUCAGCCAUCACUUGGACCUUAGUACCAAGACCAUGCAGAUCAUAAAAGAACAGCUUUGAAGAGGAAGAUCGUUUGCUCAUUAUUCGACCUAGUAGAAAACAAAAAUAAAGUUCAACAAAAUGGAACAUGACAACAGCCAAUUAGAUAAAACAAUAGAAUAAAAGUGCCUAUGUUCAAAGUUACCAGCCAAAGACACAGAAACAUCCUCAAGAUGCUCCCCAUUGCUUAACCCCCCAUACUUGUCAAUAUAUUCAGGGAUGGUCAGUGUAACAAAAAACUUAUGAGGGUACAUAUUGUUCCCUUCUGCCUUCUGAGCAUCGAGAUAUUUCAACCUAUUCUCAUAGUAUUGCUGUUAACAUAAAUCAAAACAAAAAACCAAACUCAAAAACCAAACCUUAACAAAACUUCUGUUUUUUGUACUCAUCAAGUGCAGACAAGAUAAAACAAGAAUAAAUACCGUGGGGUCCAUAUCUUCAUCAUCAGCUGCCGCUGCAGAUUUCUGAACCUGGGUGCUGGCCUUGGUAGCAGCCUUCAAAAUGGAGUAGCAGUGUUAAAACACAAUAAAACAGAAAUGCACUUAACAUAAAUAAACAUAAAUGUUCAAAUUAAAACAAAAAGGAAGAUAACUUUUUUGUUUUAUAUGAUUGUAAAGGAAAAUUCCUUAGGCAAUAAGAGGAGCAUAUUACAUGAAGAACAGCUGUAAAGGCUGAAGAGAACAAAAUUUCUGAUCAGUGUGCAGGAACCCAGGAGAGAGAAAAAAAAACAAAGAAAGAUUAAGAGUAGAGUAGAAAAUCUCAGAGAAAGAAAAGGGGUGCUUUGGGAUAAAAAUUUAUGAGGUUCAAUUAUCAAGCCAACCGCAGUACCCCUUUGGAUGUGAUUUGCGAUGGCAUGGAAAACAUGAGAAUAACACACACAAUCCACAAUCAAUUGGUCUACAAUUGUUCUCUUGCCAUUCAUUUACUAUUCCUAGUAAAUAUAGGCAAGCCAAUUUCAUCUAGA